RNAcentral lists this transfer-messenger RNA (368 nucleotides) under Sphingobacteriaceae. Its description in RNAcentral is "HMF7647 sp009834875 Standard tmRNA". It matches the Rfam family "transfer-messenger RNA". From Rfam's summary of the family: Bacterial tmRNA, also known as 10Sa RNA or SsrA, is named for its dual tRNA and mRNA-like properties. Its role is to liberate the mRNA from a stalled ribosome. RNAcentral also lists the same sequence under 1 other name. Lineage: Bacteria; Pseudomonadati; Bacteroidota; Sphingobacteriia; Sphingobacteriales. The record is from RNAcentral.
GGGCCCGACCGGAAUUGACAGGAUGGCGGCAACUAUGUAAGCAUGCAGCGCGUUGUGAGACUAGCGCUUUAAUCUGAACUCUCAACUUUCAAAUGGCGAAAAUAACUACGCCUUAGCUGCCUAAUUUAGAAUUAGCAUAGCUUUUGUCCCGCUAAGUUCCGUUCUGUAGCUUAGCAUCAGGGGCAUCGAACAACAGAACUGGCCAGGGUUUAAUGAUGUAAUAACCCGGCAAGACAAAACAUCUAAGGAAACAGGUACAGGUAAUCGGCUGACCUUCCUCUUCCCGACAAUUAAACAGCAGAUAAGCAUGUAGAAAGCAUAAUUUGUUCCAUGUUUGGACGAGAGUUCGAAUCUCUCCGGGUCCACUU